Molecule: long non-coding RNA, 1780 nt
Organism: Apodemus sylvaticus (European woodmouse)
Lineage: Eukaryota; Metazoa; Chordata; Mammalia; Rodentia; Muridae
Exons: 4
Source: RefSeq, a predicted model, not a curated record
AGUUUGCAUAAGAGUUUGCAGUGGAAGCCUGGAAGAGACAGGAGGGUCAUUAACUCUGGAAAACACUGCCUAUCAGGUCACCGGGGGUUCAAGGUUGGUGACUGACCUGGGACCAGGCUACCUAUGCGCAGCUCGCCUCCAGACAGGACACGCUGAAGACUAUCCUUCAUCUGCCUCCCUGCUACCUGAAUGGAAAAAGGUCUGACUGAAUGGAAGGCAGCACGCACACAAUGCUGCCCCCUGCUCCUGUCACCAAGAUGAUCCUCUGCCAGCCUCCCUGCUGUGACACACUGAAACCAUGAGCUGAAAUAAGCCCCUUUCAGACACCACAGCGUGACAGGAAACUGCUCUUGGCUGGAAGCAGAGGAAGCCACAGCAGGAUGCGGAAAUGGUGGCUUUGCUGAAGUGUUGAGGAGGUGGCAAGCCUGAAGACCGCUCAGGGUGAAACUUGAGCACCCUGGGGUGCACGAAGCCCAGGCUUUGCAGCUCUCUGCAGCUCUGAUAAGCUGGGAGCAUGGGGUAGGUUCUCACUCUGCCAGACUCCUGGGUUUCUGUCUUAGUCAGGGUUUCUAUUCCUGCACAAACAUCAUGACCAAGAAGGAAGUUGGGGAGGAAAGGGUUUAUUGAGCUUACACCUUCCAUGCUGCUGUUUAUCACUAAAGGAAGUCAGGACUGGAACUCAAGCAGGUCAGGAAGCAGGAGCUGAUGCAGAGGCCAUGGAGGAAUGUUUCUUACUGGCUUGCUUCCCCUGGCUUGCUCAGCCUGCUCUCUUAGAGAACUCAAGAGCACCAGCCCAAAGGUGGUACCACCCAUAAGGGGCCCUCCCCACUUGAUCACUAAUUGAGAAAAUGCCCCACAGCUGGAUCUCAUGGAGGCACUUCCUCACCUGAAGCUCCUUUCUCUGUGAUAACUCCAGCCUGUGUCAAGUUGACACACAAAACCAGCCAGUACAGCUUCUGUUGGAGGUUGGAUCUCUCUCUCAGGAGGCUCCUGGAGAUGCAGAUCUUGUGAUGUCAUCUAGCAGUUACCUCGAACCUCAGUAUCUCCCACUGACCACCUGCCACUCCCAUGCUACUGAAUUGCCCACAUUACCUGGAGGAGGGCGGGACAGAUGCUUAAAACUCUCCCUGAAUCAGCUGGGGAGGUGACUCAGCUAGCGAAGAGCUUGCCUUGCAUGUGAGGGACCUGAGCUUGGUCCUCAGAGCCCAUGGAAACGUGUGUGUUUGCUAUCCUGGCACAGGAGAGGUGGAAAAAUGUAAGCUCCUAGGCUGUGUAGCCCUCGAGCCUAGCUAGCCUUCUUGAUCAACUCCAGGGUCUCAAUGAGAGACCGCGCCUCAAACAAACAAUGUGGACUACACCCGAGGAACGACAGUUCAGGUGUUGUCUAACAUCUACUUGUACAUGAACAUACAUGUACACAUGAACCUGUAUGUAUACAUACACACACAUAUACACACAUACACACACACACACACACACACACAUAUGCACCUUACACACAAACACUUCCAGGAUCUUUCAGUCUGCCCCAGAAACCUGCGGUCUAGUCAUAGCUAAGGAAGUGAGCUGGGUCACAGUCACAUAGAAAGAAACCUUGACCACAGAAUGUGAAGAAUCCUAGAAUCCUAGAUUCCAGUCAAAGCAGUUCUGUAUGUGUGACAAUGAUAAGCAAGAGCAGGUGACACUCCAGGCCUAGCCCGGGAGUGCCAGACACCAGCCCUCCAGGGGACUCACUAAUGAAAGGGGCACAAGUACUUGGUGUCACAAAGAACCACCCCAG